This 475-nucleotide ribosomal RNA is filed under the name uncultured bacterium. RNAcentral describes it as "bacterial SSU rRNA". It matches the Rfam family "Bacterial small subunit ribosomal RNA", at positions 326 to 793 of the family's 1533-position model. The record is from RNAcentral.
ACGCUAUCACUCCUACGGGAGGCAGGCAGUGGGAUAUUGCGACAAUGGGGGAAACCCUGAUGCAGCCAUGCCGCGUGUGUGAAGAAGGCCUUCGGGUUGUAAAGCACUUUCAGUAGGGAGGAAGGUAGUGUAGUUAACACCUGCAUUAUUUGACGUUACCUACAGAAGAAGCACCGGCUAACUCCAUGCCAGCAGCCGCGGUAAUACGGAGGGUGCGAGCGUUAAUCGGAAUUUAGCAUGGGCGUAAAGCGCAUGCAGGCGGCCUGUUAAGUCAGAUGCUGAAGCCGGGGCUUAACCUCGGAAUUGCAUUUGAAACUGGCAGGCUAGAGUCUUGUAGAGGGGGGUAGAAUUUCAGGUGUAGCGGUGAAAUGCGUAGAGAUCUGAAGGAAUACCAGUGGCGAAGGCGGCCCCUGGACAAAGACUGACGCUCAGAUGCGAAAGCGUGGGGAGCAAACAGGAUUAGAUACCCUGGUAG